AACAAAAAAAAACAAAACAAAGAAAAACCUAACCUAAGAAGAAACCUGCAAACAAUUUCUUUCUGGCUUUGUCUUCCUUCUCCUUCUCUUUGUUCAUCGUAUUUGUUUUGAUUAUUCAUUACAUCUCAGAUAUGUUUCAGAAAGAAAAGAAAAAACAAGUUUUCUGUUGAACGAAGUUGAAUCUCCAUAACCCUAAUCACAUUUCUUUUAUCCGUAUCUGUUUUCAUUGUUCGUUAUUGGUUUUGUUCUAAUUGUUUUUGUUUGGUUUUAUUUUGAUGGAACUAAUUUUUACUAUUGGUACAAUCAAUAAACCAUAACCCAUGUUUUAUUUUGC
Long non-coding RNA from Papaver somniferum (opium poppy), 334 nucleotides. RefSeq lists it as uncharacterized. The transcript is spliced from 2 exons. The record is from RefSeq and is a predicted model, not a curated record. Lineage: Eukaryota; Viridiplantae; Streptophyta; Magnoliopsida; Ranunculales; Papaveraceae.